RNAcentral lists this ribosomal RNA (503 nucleotides) under uncultured Chitinophagaceae bacterium. RNAcentral describes it as "bacterial SSU rRNA". It matches the Rfam family "Bacterial small subunit ribosomal RNA", at positions 8 to 507 of the family's 1533-position model. Lineage: Bacteria; Pseudomonadati; Bacteroidota; Chitinophagia; Chitinophagales; Chitinophagaceae. The record is from RNAcentral.
AGAGUUUGAUCCUGGCUCAGAUGAACGCUAGCGGCAGGCUUAACACAUGCAAGUCGAGGGGCAGCAUAGUCUUCGGACUGAUGGCGAACCGGCAAACGGGUGCGGAACACGUACGCAACAUACCCUUAUCUGGGAGAUAGCCCGAAGAAAUUCGGAUUAAUACCCCAUAGUAUUAUUAGCAGGCAUCUGUUAGAUAAUUAAAGAUUUAUUGGAUAGGGAUUGGCGUGCGUCCUAUUAGCUAGUUGGUAGGGUAACGGCCUACCAAGGCGACGAUAGGUAGCUGGUGUGAGAGCACGACCAGCCACACGGGCACUGAGACACGGGCCCGACUCCUACGGGAGGCAGCAGUGAGGAAUAUUGGUCAAUGGACGGAAGUCUGAACCAGCCAUGCCGCGUGAAGGAUGAAGGCGUUCUGCGUUGUAAACUUCUUUUAUCUGGGAAGAAACCUCCGAUUUCUAUUGGAGCCGACGGUACCAGAGGAAUAAGCACCGGCUAACUCCGUG